Molecule: transfer RNA, 66 nt
Filed under: Rhipidocerus australasiae
Lineage: Eukaryota; Metazoa; Arthropoda; Insecta; Coleoptera; Cerambycidae
Description: tRNA-Tyr
Source: RNAcentral
GGUAAUAUGGCCGAUAUAAGGUGAUAAAUUGUAAAUUUAUUUAUGAAACUUACGUUUCUUUUACCA